AGCAGCCGCGGUAAUUCCAGCUCCAAUAGCGUAUAUUAAAGUUGUUGCAGUUAAAAGCUCGUAGUUGAAUUUCGAGAUCAAAUUGUUGGUCGUGCCUCGGUACGUACUGGCAUUAUUGAUUUCUCCCUUCUGACGAUCCGCGAUGUCAUUAAUUUGGUGUCGCGGGGAAUCAGGACUGUUACUUGAAAAAUUAGAGUGUUUAAAGCAGGCUCACGCUUGAAUACAUUAGCAUGGAAUAAUGAAAUAGGACGUUUGAUUCUAUUUUGUUGGUUUCUAGGAUCGACGUAAUGAUUAAUAGGGAUAGUUGGGGCAUUAGUAUUCAAUUGUCAGAGGUGAAAUUCUUGGAUUUAUUGAAGACUAACUACUGCGAAAUGCAUUUGCCAAGGAUGUUUUCAUUAAUCAAGAACGAAAGUUAGGGGAUCGAAGACGAUCAGAUACCGUCGUAGUCUUAACCAUAAACUAUGCCGACUAGGGGAUCGGAUGAUGUUAAUUUUUUUCAAUGACUCAUUCGGCGCCUUAC
This 520-nucleotide ribosomal RNA is filed under the name uncultured Glomus. RNAcentral's name for it is "SSU rRNA". It matches the Rfam family "Eukaryotic small subunit ribosomal RNA", at positions 569 to 1091 of the family's 1831-position model. The record is from RNAcentral. Lineage: Eukaryota; Fungi; Glomeromycota; Glomeromycetes; Glomerales; Glomeraceae.